This 764-nucleotide ribosomal RNA is filed under the name Bacillus sp. AP183. Its description in RNAcentral is "bacterial SSU rRNA". It matches the Rfam family "Bacterial small subunit ribosomal RNA", at positions 69 to 817 of the family's 1533-position model. The record is from RNAcentral. Lineage: Bacteria; Bacillati; Bacillota; Bacilli; Caryophanales; Bacillaceae.
CAGAUGGGAGCUUGCUCCCUGAUGUUAGCGGCGGACGGGUGAGUAACACGUGGGUAACCUGCCUGUAAGACUGGGAUAACUCCGGGAAACCGGGGCUAAUACCGGAUGGUUGUUUGAACCGCAUGGUUCAGACAUAAAAGGUGGCUUCGGCUACCACUUACAGAUGGACCCGCGGCGCAUUAGCUAGUUGGUGAGGUAACGGCUCACCAAGGCGACGAUGCGUAGCCGACCUGAGAGGGUGAUCGGCCACACUGGGACUGAGACACGGCCCAGACUCCUACGGGAGGCAGCAGUAGGGAAUCUUCCGCAAUGGACGAAAGUCUGACGGAGCAACGCCGCGUGAGUGAUGAAGGUUUUCGGAUCGUAAAGCUCUGUUGUUAGGGAAGAACAAGUGCCGUUCAAAUAGGGCGGCACCUUGACGGUACCUAACCAGAAAGCCACGGCUAACUACGUGCCAGCAGCCGCGGUAAUACGUAGGUGGCAAGCGUUGUCCGGAAUUAUUGGGCGUAAAGGGCUCGCAGGCGGUUUCUUAAGUCUGAUGUGAAAGCCCCCGGCUCAACCGGGGAGGGUCAUUGGAAACUGGGGAACUUGAGUGCAGAAGAGGAGAGUGGAAUUCCACGUGUAGCGGUGAAAUGCGUAGAGAUGUGGAGGAACACCAGUGGCGAAGGCGACUCUCUGGUCUGUAACUGACGCUGAGGAGCGAAAGCGUGGGGAGCGAACAGGAUUAGAUACCCUGGUAGUCCACGCCGUAAACGAUGAGUGCU